Molecule: ribosomal RNA, 439 nt
Filed under: uncultured Anaerolineaceae bacterium
Lineage: Bacteria; Bacillati; Chloroflexota; Anaerolineae; Anaerolineales; Anaerolineaceae
Description: bacterial SSU rRNA
Rfam family: Bacterial small subunit ribosomal RNA
Source: RNAcentral
ACAAGCAGCGGAGCGUGUGGUUUAAUUCGAUGUUACACGAAGAACCUUACCAGGGUUUGACAUACAGGUGGUAGAGAACUGAAAGGAUCGACCUUCGGGAGCCUGAACAGGUGCUGCAUGGCUGUCGUCAGCUCGUGUCGUGAGAUGUUCGGUUAAGUCCGCUAACGAGCGCAACCCUCGCUGUGUGUUACAAGUGUCACACGGUACUGCCGGUCUAAAACCGGAGGAAGGUGGGAUGACGUCAAGUCAGCAUGGCCUUUAUAUCCUGGGCUACACACACGCUACAAUGGCCGGUACAGUAGGUAGCGAAGCCGCGAGGUGGAGCCAAUCCACAAAGCCGGUCUCAGUUCAGAUUGCAGGCUGCAACCCGCCUGCAUGAAGAUGGAGUUGCUAGUAACCGCAGGUCAGCUAUACUGCGGUGAAUACGUUCCCGGGGCUU